AGCUUUGCGCAGUGGCAGUAUCGUAGCCAAUGAGGUUUAUCCGAGGCGCGAUUAUUGCUAAUUAAACUAAAAAUGGCUUUAUAGCAGAGAAAAUUUUCAGGCAUCUUUGAGAGGA
This 115-nucleotide small nuclear RNA is filed under the name Neogale vison (American mink). RNAcentral describes it as "Neovison vison (American mink) U4 spliceosomal RNA (ENSNVIG00000004903.1)". It matches the Rfam family "U4 spliceosomal RNA". Rfam says of the family: U4 small nuclear RNA (U4 snRNA) is a component of the major U2-dependent spliceosome. Lineage: Eukaryota; Metazoa; Chordata; Mammalia; Carnivora; Mustelidae. The record is from Rfam by way of RNAcentral.